GGAUAAAUGGCAGAGCGGAUUAUUGCCCUCGUCUUGAAAACGAGUAAACCGAAAGGUUUCGUGGGUUCGAAUCCUACUUUAUCCUCCA
This 88-nucleotide transfer RNA is filed under the name uncultured archaeon. Its description in RNAcentral is "tRNA-Ser(tga)". It matches the Rfam family "tRNA". From Rfam's summary of the family: Transfer RNA (tRNA) molecules are approximately 80 nucleotides in length. The record is from RNAcentral.